RNAcentral lists this ribosomal RNA (1065 nucleotides) under Salmonella enterica subsp. enterica serovar Anecho. RNAcentral's name for it is "partial 23S ribosomal RNA". It matches the Rfam family "Bacterial large subunit ribosomal RNA", at positions 1191 to 2215 of the family's 2925-position model. Lineage: Bacteria; Pseudomonadati; Pseudomonadota; Gammaproteobacteria; Enterobacterales; Enterobacteriaceae. The record is from RNAcentral.
GGAGCGAAGCGACGUCAAAGCGUAUACAAAGUCGAGUCGGUUUAAGGAUACGUUCGUUGGGUAGGGGAGCGUUCUGUAAGCCUGUGAAGGUGGCCUGUGAGGGUUGCUGGAGGUAUCAGAAGUGCGAAUGCUGACAUAAGUAACGAUAAAGCGGGUGAAAAGCCCGCUCGCCGGAAGACCAAGGGUUCCUGUCCAACGUUAAUCGGGGCAGGGUGAGUCGACCCCUAAGGCGAGGCCGAAAGGCGUAGUCGAUGGGAAACGGGUUAAUAUUCCCGUACUUGGUGUUACUGCGAAGGGGGGACGGAGAAGGCUAUGUUGGCCGGGCGACGGUUGUCCCGGUUUAAGCGUGUAGGUGUGUGUUCCAGGUAAAUCCGGUUCACUUUAACACUGAGGCGUGAUGACGAGGCACUACGGUGCUGAAGCAACAAAUGCCCUGCUUCCAGGAAAAGCCUCUAAGCAUCAGGUAACAUCAAAUCGUACCCCAAACCGACACAGGUGGUCAGGUAGAGAAUACCAAGGCGCUUGAGAGAACUCGGGUGAAGGAACUAGGCAAAAUGGUGCCGUAACUUCGGGAGAAGGCACGCUGACACGUAGGUGAAGUGAUUUACUCAUGGAGCUGAAGUCAGUCGAAGAUACCAGCUGGCUGCAACUGUUUAUUAAAAACACAGCACUGUGCAAACACGAAAGUGGACGUAUACGGUGUGACGCCUGCCCGGUGCCGGAAGGUUAAUUGAUGGGGUCAGCGCAAGCGAAGCUCCUGAUCGAAGCCCCGGUAAACGGCGGCCGUAACUAUAACGGUCCUAAGGUAGCGAAAUUCCUUGUCGGGUAAGUUCCGACCUGCACGAAUGGCGUAAUGAUGGCCAGGCUGUCUCCACCCGAGACUCAGUGAAAUUGAACUCGCUGUGAAGAUGCAGUGUACCCGCGGCAAGACGGAAAGACCCCGUGAACCUUUACUAUAGCUUGACACUGAACAUUGAGCCUUGAUGUGUAGGAUAGGUGGGAGGCUUUGAAGUGUGGACGCCAGUCUGCAUGGAGCCGACCUUGAAAUACCACCCUUUAAUGUUU